RNAcentral lists this long non-coding RNA (2945 nucleotides) under Panax ginseng (ginseng). RNAcentral describes it as "long non-coding RNA (PGIN_LNC017386)". The record is from RNAcentral. Lineage: Eukaryota; Viridiplantae; Streptophyta; Magnoliopsida; Apiales; Araliaceae.
UCAAAAUAAACUUUCUUUAUUCAUUAAACAUCUCAAACUGUAUAUAACUGCCAGUUACACAUUCAAAACUAUCAACAUAAUUCUAUACAAUAUCUGAUUUGAGAUAAUGUGUUCUUUCACAUAUCCUUCCAUCCUUAUCAUCUGGAUAGCAGAUAGUAUUGCUCUGUAUCGUUAACCUACAAAAAAAAAUUAUUUUUGCAAGACUGAGCUUGAUAGCUCAACAAAUUUAUGCUUCACAUAACACAUAAUAUCAUAACCAAUUCAGAUCUCAUGAUUAGCAUAAUACAUAACAACAUAAUUCAUAUGUUCAGUAUAUCACAUAUCAUCUCAAGGUUAAGUUCCAAAACUCAAUCAAUUUUAGUUAUAAGUUGACUAUCAUAAAUCAACGCACAUAAGCUGUAAUUCAACAUACUUGUAAAUAUUUUAUGUAAUAUCAAGAUCACAUAACACAAAUAAACUGAAAAACUUAUCUUGAUUGGAGAUUAUCGCAAAAUUUAAUAUAGCAUUACUCCACAAUUCCUACACAAUUAUUUUUACAUGCACACACAUAUUAGAUAAUUAAAUGUCACAAAACAUGCAUGUUAUUCACAAAUAAUAAUUAUUAGUUUUAUACAAACUAAUAUUAUUUAUUCUAACUCAAAACGAAUAUUGAUUUUUUUUAGAAACUUAAUUCUUUUUAACCUUUUUAUGACAAAUAAAGGUCCUCACACUUUAGUGUAUAAAUACUUUACACUUUGAAGAUUAAAUCAUCUAUAUUCCACUUUAGGAAUAUCUUUUACCUUUAUUCGCAAAUUCAGGACUUAAAUAGUUAUUAUAUAAUUUUUAUAGUACAAAUUAAAUUUACUAUAUUAUUUCUUGAUUUAAAUAAUUUUAUAGUUGUUAGUCUACUCAUGAGUCAACUCAGACAUAUGUCUCAUAUAUAAUCAAUUUUAUCUUGCUAUCACAAUAGCUUUAUUUUUCGUUUUGCGAAGAACUCGCAAUUAUUCUUUGUACAUAUAUUAAAUAUAUAUACCCUUCUAUAUAAUCUCAGCUCAAAAACCCCAUUUUGAACCUCAAAAAUCUUUAUUACAUCAUUUUUAUGAUUAUUACAACUUCUUAAAGAUUUCAGGUUCUUCGGUGCACCACAAAACCAUAAUAUUAGGUUUACUCUUACUUAAAUAUAAAAUUCAUAUUCAUUUUAUAUUUUCAUUGAAUUAAUUAUGCCCGAGAGGAAGUUUCAUGACAUAUUUUAUCACAUAAUGUCAAAACUUAUUGCUUGGAAAUUUAUUAACUUAACAUUACUAAAAAUCUAGCCCAAACGCGAUCCGGAACGUCGAACGUCAAAACAGCCCGUGUCAGCUAUGUGUUAGCCCAUUUUAAAGUUCUGACAUGUUAUUUCGCUCAUUUUUAAUUCUCAAACCAUUAAUCGAAUACUAUGUAAUUUUGAUAUGUUAUAGAUCUCAUGUCAUAGUAUUUUAUAGUAUUUUAGAAAAAUUUCACACUGCGAAAACAGAUCACAAAAACUAAUCAAAACAUCACAUGAAAAGCUCGCCAGGCGACGGCGUGCGCGCGUUGGUGCAGCGCCCAGCUGCUGCUGUUGUGUCGUUCUGAUUGCCCUACUACCCACUUUGCGAUUUUUCCACACUUUGGUCGUUUAUCGGAAAAUUUCAAAUUUUUAGUAUAUUUUCCGUAUCAUACGAGACUAUUUUUUAAAAAAUAUUAAACUCCCAUUUCGGAUUCGUUAGGCACUUCAAACAAUGCGUACAUCGUACAUUCAUAACAGUUUUCAAUUUUGUUUCAGCUUUACCCUCUUUCGCUAAAACAGUCAUAACUUUUUUGUCUCAAAACAUUUUUGAGCGAUUCUUACGCCCAGGCGAAGCUAACUUCCAGGGCUACAACUUUUAUUCUUUGACAAUUUUUCAAAUUCUAAACCCAGAAUUCCAGAAAACUCAUGCAAGGGACUGGUCAGAAUAUGAUUUCCAGAUUUUGGACAGAUUCGACGCGCUUCCUUUGAACGGUCAUAACUCUUUGCUCCGAAGUUGGAAUUAGUCUAUUCUGGAGUCUAUGGAAACCUUAUUCAGAGUACUAUACUUCCCCAAAAGUCCAGAAUUUUUUUAAUAAUAUAGAUAUUCCCGAAUUUGUCUUUUAAGGCCAGCAGUCCACUAGUUUUUCGGACUUUGACAUGUUUUACUAAAACAUUUACUAUAAACUCGUUUUAGCUUCUUUUCGAUUCCUUCCAAUUGGCCUGAAACUUGCUCAUAUCUUUAGAUUAUACUACAACUUACCAAUUAAAGUUUUACUCUUUCAAAGAUUCUUAUGAUAUAGAACAGAGGGCUAAAAAAUGUGUUCAACAGUUUAUCAUUUAAACUCAACUUGUUUCCCAACUCCAAAACUCAAUUUGAUAUCUAACACAUAACUUUGAUCAAUUCUCAUGUUUUCACAUGAUGUUCUCAUUGGGGUAUUUUGACAAACAUCUUGCCUACAAUGCAUAAAAGUACAAAUUUUAUAUAUAUUGGUACAUGGUUCAACCAUGUAUUUCCAUCCUUAUUACUCCACACAAUCAAUACCACAUCCCAUCACGACAUUUAAUAACCCAACCACAACAGUUCUAUCAUUUUAUGCAUAUAUAUUAACUUAUUUUUAUGAACAUAUGGCUUACCUUGCUUGCUUGAUGUAACUACUUCAAGCUUACAUAAAUUAUAGUUUCAAUCCCUUUAUUGACAACAAUUGAUGCAAUCCUCCUUACACCUUAGUUGCUAAUUACAGCUCAUGGCUCUACUUCUUGGAGGAUUUGGUUUUUUUUCUUUAGUGGCAAUUGAAAGAAUUUCUUUGGGUGAUAGUAGUUUGUCAUAAGAAGAGAUUAAGAGGAAAUUGUUUGGGACGGAAGUGAGGGAGCAGAGGCUGAGUGAUGGUAAGAGUUUUCUUUCUCAAUUUAACAAAUAGCUCUUUCAUAUUACUCAUAAAAU